ACGGAAGGCAGCAGUGAGGAAUAUUGGUCAAUGGGCGGAAGCCUGAACCAGCCAAGUCGCGUGAAGGAAGACGGUAUUAUGUAUUGUAAACUUCUUUAGGCGCAGAGAAAUAAGCUCCUCGUGAGGAGUGAUGCUAGUAUGCGCAGAAUAAGGAUCGGCUAACUCCGUGCCAGCAGCCGCGGUAAUACGGAGGAUCCGAGCGUUAUCCGGAUUUAUUGGGUUUAAAGGGUGCGCAGGCGGGCUGCUAAGUCUCCGGUGAAAUGUCAGGGCUCAACCUUGGCAUUGCCGGAGAUACUGGCGGCCUUGAGAGUGGCGGAGGUAUCCGGAAUGUGUGGUGUAGCGGUGAAAUGCAUAGAUAUCACACAGAACACCGAUUGCGAAGGCAGGAUACCAUACCAUAUCUGACGCUCAGGCACGAAAGCGUGGGGAUCGAACAGGAUUAGAUACCCUGGUA
RNAcentral lists this ribosomal RNA (454 nucleotides) under uncultured Porphyromonadaceae bacterium. RNAcentral describes it as "partial 16S ribosomal RNA". It matches the Rfam family "Bacterial small subunit ribosomal RNA", at positions 341 to 792 of the family's 1533-position model. Lineage: Bacteria; Pseudomonadati; Bacteroidota; Bacteroidia; Bacteroidales; Porphyromonadaceae. The record is from RNAcentral.